UUACCGCCUUCAGGACAGGCUGGGACAUUCUGUUCUUCUUCUUUGAGCUGGUGGGACUGUCAAAAUCAAAGCCGCUGACCACUGCCCUUCUGUAGGACGUGGACCUCAAGCCUCGCCGAAGGGAGCCGGGACUGUCCAUGUCGUUGUCGACUUCGCUUUCCUCCCCUUCGUGGCCCAGGGGUGCUCCCAGUCCCUCCACCAUGCUGCGCACCUUGAGAAGCCUCCUAUGGGGCUCCACAUUCUGACUAUUGGAUUUACUCAGUUUAAUUUCAGAGGCAAGGCUUUUGGGGAUAAUCUGCUGCUUUCCCAUCUUGAGUGCCGCCGGGCUGUUGGUACUCAAAACCACGGAAGGGUUCGGGAGCUCAUUCCCUUGGGAGGGCAGCCUUUGGAGCGGUAGUUUUUGUUCUGAAGACUUGUGCGGGGUAGCAGGAGAAAGUCUCGAGGGGGCCAGCUCCAAGUCCCCAGCUGGACCAGUUUGUGAUACUGGGCCAGAUGAGUCGGUUUUAAGGGCAAGGCCAUUGGCAAUGGGCGAAGAUACCUUACUGGCAGUCACCCCGGUGCGGUCCUCAUCGGGGGCGCAAGGGGCCGGGAUGUCCGGAGUUCGGGAGGCGCGCGACAACAGCGCCGCGGGCGAGGCCACCGUGCCAUUAGCAGUGGACUUCGGGGAGCCGCCCGACGCCGCGUAAGAAACCAGGGGUGACUUGGGACGUCGGAGUCGAGGAGAAGCAGCUCUGUAGUCCGGGGACACCGUGCGACCAUUGGUGACCGGCCUCCGAUGCGCGCACAGAAGCUGGGGGCUCCUGGAUACCGUCCUGCCGUCCGGGUCGGCGGGUACGCGGACUGGAGUCUGCGGCGUGGGCAGAGCAGUCAGCUCCUCCACAGGGAAGUCGGUGAUCAGCAGCCCGCUGGGGCUCUGGUACGACUGUGGCCGCGGCUUGCUCCGGCCGAGCAACUGGAGCGGAGGGGUGGACCGUCUCCGCCACAAAGGGGUGACGCCGUUGCUGGAAAAAUCCACCUCGCUUUCGCCGUCCAUAGCGGGGCCUUUGAGUCAGCCCCGAGAGGGGGAAAGCUGCUCAGAUUGCCCAAGAGAAAGGAACUUUGCCUCCGGACAAGUAGUCUUGUCUUGGAGCCUAGCCGGGUUCCAGCCCGGCGGUCACACGGGUGUCGCGCGGGACUCGGCAGCGCCGCACUUACCCGCCCUUUCUCGGGCACAGCGCCUCCCGCCAAGCUCCGCGACGGAGGACUGAGAUCCGAGCCGCGGUCGAUCAGAUGAAUCCGGUCUCCUCUGCGUCCUUCCCGCGCCCCAAGCCCGCCGGCACCUAGAGAGCUCGCCGCCACCGCAGGACCCUUGGAAAGAGUUCAGCUGGCUGGGACAGCUCGCCGUGGGACGCUCCCCCGCGUCUCCAUCUAGCCGCCCGCCCCUCGCCAGUCCACCCGGCCCCCGGUAUGCGGUCUCCAGCACGCUCACCCUUCCGGAGCACAGACCAAGGAGUGCUCCCUGUCCCCGUGGGUGGCCUGGGUCCUCACUAAAGCGCAGCGACAACCGCUCAGCCCGGGGCAGCAGAGACCCGCGGCGCCGGCCCCGCCCCCGCGCUACGCCCCGCCCCUCUUGGCCCCGCCCCAGCACGCCGGGGAAGCUCGCUCCGAGGCGCCCUGGAGUUCCCGCCCCUGCCUUCCCCGUGUGCGCUCUAAGUAUUUGCAAAUCGGGCGCGCACACCUGAGCUGUGCGUCCAGACCCUGAGUACAGGAAUGUGCAGGAGCGCGGGCGACCGCCCUAGGGGCCAGCAGGAGGGCGCGGUCGCAGAUCGGAACACAGCAGGGGAAUGGUCCUGAGAGCAGAGAAAGGGGCUCUUGAUCAUCCCCAGCCCUAGAGGGGAAGGUUGGAAGGGUGAACCACGUCGGAGCUUGGUGCUGCUGAGCCACUUCACUGGGCCACUUGUGGGCGUCAAACUGAACCUCACUCGGGGUUCUCACUCAUCUACUAGCUAUAAUGUGGGGACUACAGACAGAUUUGCUUGUAUGCACUCAGAGGAGAACUGACUGAGAGGCCAGGUGGACCGUGUCCUAAUCUUUGGGCCCUAUAUGUUUGAAAGUCACACAGUAAAAGUAAACAAAAUACAAAAUAUUUAUUAGUGUGUAGUAUUUAUUAGUGUGUACAAUAUAAAUUGAAAAUCUGUAUGUAGAAUAAAAUAUUGUACAAGGAGUAAAUUCCAAAUCCUUAUUAGAGAUUAAGAGGCUGGACAGAGGUGGGUCUACCCCUACAGCCUAGUAUUUUUUCCGCUAGCUUUAUUUAGUCAAGCCAAGUCCACAGCCUUAGAGCCUUCAAGUUUAUUUCUUGGCCUUCUGGCUUGUCACUCCAUUGGAACUUGAGUUGAAAUUACCCCCGAUUUCCCCCAACCACCAGAUCUCUUUCUUUUUCACCCUAAUCGAAAUUUGUAAAUCUGAAUACUUGCUUAUAUGUCUAUGUAUUAAUGCUUAAUCUAUUCUGCCUUUGCAUUGAAAUUUUGAAGAGGGCAGGGGCCACGUUUGUGGCUCAUGCACACAGUAAGUGAUAAAUAUCUGUGGAGUAUGGGAGUAGAUGAGUAAGAGAAAUGAACCUGGGCCAGUGAUCAUUUGUCUUUUGGAUGUUGGUUGUCAAGUUGGCUAUGUCUUGGUGAAACUCCAGGUAUGUACGAAUAAUGAGGUGACCUGAGAAGACAGGAUUCUGGUUGAUGAGGUCUGUAGACUUGGUUCUGUUAGCAAGACACAGGGCAGGCUCCAAGCUUUCAACUUUCAUGUGAGCACCCACUGUUUAAUGACAUGCUUCUUUCUGCUUUGGGUGGCAAAAGGAAGGGUGGUAUUUACGGUGUUUCUUUCUGUUUUUCUAUACUUACCAAAGCAACACAGUGAAGGUCUUUGAUCUUAGAAACUUUUUUGAACUGGAAGAAAUGGAAUCAAAGUGUUUAUCGAAAUAAUUUUUAAGAAAAUUUACCAACAAUUUCAUACAGAAUGAAGCAGAUUCUAUGUUCAUCUAUGGAGCCUUGCUGUAGGGGAUAUUCAUAUCAAUAAUAUUAGUUUUAUAUAAUAAAUUUAACUUC
Molecule: long non-coding RNA, 3077 nt
Filed under: Mus pahari (shrew mouse)
Lineage: Eukaryota; Metazoa; Chordata; Mammalia; Rodentia; Muridae
Description: RIKEN cDNA 9330121J05 gene (MGP_PahariEiJ_G0003458.1)
Source: RNAcentral